This 507-nucleotide unclassified non-coding RNA is filed under the name Hevea brasiliensis (rubber tree). Lineage: Eukaryota; Viridiplantae; Streptophyta; Magnoliopsida; Malpighiales; Euphorbiaceae. The record is from RNAcentral.
AGAAAAAUUAAUUUACAUUCAUCAGUAUAAAUUUAUAGCAGAAAAUCCAAAAGUAAUAUUAUUACAAUUUCUGUACAAACUGCUCAAGACCAAUUUACAAUGCACAUACAGUCAUUUACAUCAAAAUAAAGAUAUACAAUAACGGUAUAAUGUAAUACUCGACAAAAGAUCCAAAGGUGGUACUAUGAUCCUCAGCAUCUUACUUGGCUGCUUUACUAGUCUCUCUACCCGCGACAGCAAUAAAAAGCCAUUGCUGAGUACAUGACUCAGUAGUGCACAACAUACUAAAAAUACUCCUUUAUGCAUAAUUAAAUCACAGAUAUUUAAUUAUAAUGAUGAAGUCAGUAAAUAGAUGCAAAAUAAAUUUUAAAUUUUAAUCAAGCAUUUUCGUUUCAGAAGUCACAAAACAAAUUUUAUAAAAAUACGCAGUCGUAUCAUGCCAUUAAUAUAAUGUUCAUCUAAAUAGCCAGAGGCUUAUGAGGCAUACCAAGGCUAGCUAGCUCAAAU